CUACGGGGGGCACCAGUGGGGGAUAUUGCACAAUGGGCGAAAGCCUGAUGCAGCAACGCCGCGUGAAGGAAGACGGUUUUCGGAUUGUAAACUUCUAUCAGCAGGGAAGAAAAUGACGGUACCUGACUAAGAAGCCCCGGCUAACUACGUGCCAGCAGCCGCGGUAAUACGUAGGGGGCAAGCGUUAUCCGGAAUUACUGGGUGUAAAGGGUACGUAGGCGGCUGAUCAAGUCAGAUGUGAAAGCCCGGGGCUCAACCCCGGGACUGCAUUUGAAACUGGUCGGCUAGAGUGCAGGAGAGGAAAGUGGAAUUCCUAGUGUAGCGGUGAAAUGCGUAGAUAUUAGGAAGAACACCAGUGGCGAAGGCGGCUUUCUGGACUGUAACUGACGCUGAGGUACGAAAGCGUGGGGAGCGAACAGGAUUAGAUACCCUGGUAGUC
This 439-nucleotide ribosomal RNA is filed under the name uncultured bacterium. RNAcentral describes it as "partial 16S ribosomal RNA". It matches the Rfam family "Bacterial small subunit ribosomal RNA", at positions 339 to 795 of the family's 1533-position model. The record is from RNAcentral.